GAUGAAGAACGUAGCGAAAUGCGAUAAGUAGUGUGAAUUGCAGAAUUCAGUGAAUCAUCGAAUCUUUGAACGCACAUUGCGCCCGCCAGUAUUCUGGCGGGCAUGCCUGUUCGAGCGUCAUUUCAACCCUCAGGCCCCCAGUGCCUGGUGUUGGGGAUCGGCAGCAGGGCGUCAAGCCCGCCGGCCCCGAAAUCUAGUGGCGGUCUCGCUGUAGUCCUCCUCUGCGUAGUAGCACAACCUCGCAGUUGGAACGCGGCGGUGGCCAUGCCGUUAAACACCCCACUUCUGAAAGUUGACCUCGGAUCAGGUAGGAAUACCCGCUGAACUUAAGCAUAUCAUAAGCGGAGGA
RNAcentral lists this unclassified non-coding RNA (349 nucleotides) under soil metagenome. Its description in RNAcentral is "partial contains 5.8S ribosomal RNA, internal transcribed spacer 2, and large subunit ribosomal RNA". The stretch from base 1 to 120 matches the Rfam family "5.8S ribosomal RNA", at positions 35 to 154 of the family's 154-position model. The record is from RNAcentral.